Molecule: ribosomal RNA, 253 nt
Filed under: uncultured bacterium
Lineage: Bacteria
Description: partial 16S ribosomal RNA
Rfam family: Bacterial small subunit ribosomal RNA
Source: RNAcentral
CACGGAGGGCGCGAGCGUUGUUCGGAAUCACUGGGCGUAAAGCGCGUGUAGGCGGCCGAGCAAGUCGGAUGUGAAAUCCCGAGGCUCAACCUCGGAACUGCAUUCGAAACUGCUCGGCUCGAGUCCCGGAGAGGAUAGCGGAAUUCCCGGUGUAGGGGUGAAAUCCGUAGAUAUCGGGAGGAACACCAGUGGCGAAGGCGGCCAUCUGGACGGUGACUGACGCUGAGACGAGAAAGCGUGGGGAGCAAACAGG